UUUUUUUUAAUAAAUGACGAUUAAGACUUUGACAAAUUGAGUACUUUCAAAUCGUUGUAUGAAAAAAAAAAUAACUGAAAGGGUUAUUGAGUUUAGAUUAAUUGCUUUUGAAUUUCUUUCCACAAUGAUAUGCUUAAAUAGAGAAAGAUAAACCGAGGAAGAAUUAGAUGUUAUAUUUUAAAUUUUAAAUGUUUAAUAAACAGAAAAUACUUUUCUCUUUCCAAUCUUUUACUCCCCCUCCCCCAAAUUUCUUUGUAUCUACUGACACGUCCAUCUAAAUGAAGUCUGAUUGAUCUCUAGCUAAUCUCCCUGUUUUAAAACAAACUUAAAUAUGACCCCCUUUAAAUUCGAUUCAAAAAUAUGGGGAAUAGAUAUUCAAGAAGUCGUUAUAAAUUCCAUUGAAUCUAAAACUAGUCCAAAUCAGAUUUCUUUUAUUCGGAUAUUCUUAGAUACAUUUCUUUUUUGGCGGAAGUUACCAAAAAUUGUUUUAACUUUCUUUCUGACUUUAAAACACUGAUUUAAGAUUUAUGUUGUACGCAAAAUAUAAUACUGAAACAUUUUAUGUUCAAGCUAAGAUGAAAAAAAGGAAUGAGAAACCUUUCUUUUUUCCUAUUCUGAAACUACGAUGUUUGUACAAAGUUCAGUUUUGUCGUAAUUUCAAGGCAGAUGGCGGAUUCGGGGGUGGGGACGAACAUGUCGUUCACCCUAGGAUUGGACAAAUUAUCGUGUUUUGCCUUAAAAUCGUCAAUAUUGUUUUUAGUCUCGCUACGCUCGGUAUAUUUUUUUUAAUUUGAUAGAAUAACGCCCCUUUUAAAAUCUAGGAACCGCCCCUAAAGGUAAAAAUAGAUUUGAACUGUGCAGUAUAUCUGAGGUAGUUAAUGCACACCUUUGCUGUGCAUUAUCCAGAUUAUAGCACAGUAAGAACAAAGAGAUUUUACCCAUACCAUGUGUUAA
Molecule: long non-coding RNA, 954 nt
Filed under: Mytilus galloprovincialis (Mediterranean mussel)
Lineage: Eukaryota; Metazoa; Mollusca; Bivalvia; Mytilida; Mytilidae
Source: RNAcentral